RNAcentral lists this ribosomal RNA (468 nucleotides) under uncultured bacterium. RNAcentral's name for it is "partial 16S ribosomal RNA". It matches the Rfam family "Bacterial small subunit ribosomal RNA", at positions 28 to 507 of the family's 1533-position model. The record is from RNAcentral.
GACGAACGCUGGCGGCGUGCUUAACACAUGCAAGUCGAACGGAAAGGCCCUGCUUUUGUGGGGUGCUCGAGUGGCGAACGGGUGAGUAACACGUGAGUAACCUGCCCUUGACUUUGGGAUAACUUCAGGAAACUGGGGCUAAUACCGGAUAGGAGCUCCUGCUGCAUGGUGGGGGUUGGAAAGUUUCGGCGGUUGGGGAUGGACUCGCGGCUUAUCAGCUUGUUGGUGGGGUAGUGGCUUACCAAGGCUUUGACGGGUGGCCGGCCUGAGAGGGUGACCGGCCACAUUGGGACGGAGAUCCGGCCCAGACUCCUACGGGAGGCAGCAGUGGGGAAUAUUGCACAAUGGGCGGAAGCCUGAUGCAGCAACGCCGCGUGCGGGAUGACGGCCUUCGGGUUGUAAACCGCUUUCGCCUGUGACGAAGCGUGAGUGACGGUAAUGGGUAAAGAAGCACCGGCUAACUACGUG